AUCGCUUCUCGGCCUUUUGGCUAAGAUCAAGUGUAGUAUCAAAGACACACCACCAUCACCCUAC
Molecule: small nuclear RNA, 64 nt
Filed under: Moschus moschiferus (Siberian musk deer)
Lineage: Eukaryota; Metazoa; Chordata; Mammalia; Artiodactyla; Moschidae
Description: U2 spliceosomal RNA (ENSMMSG00000008358.1)
Source: Rfam by way of RNAcentral